GCAUUCAGUUGGGCACUUUAAAGAGACUGCCGGUGUUAAACCGGAGGAAGGUGGGGAUGACGUCAAGUCCUCAUGGCCUUUAUGCUUAGGGCUACACACGUGCUACAAUGGGUGGUACAAAGAGAAGCCAACUCGCGAGAGCGCGCCAAUCUCAAAAAGCCAUCCUCAGUUCGGAUUGGAGUCUGCAACUCGACUCCAUGAAGUUGGAAUCGCUAGUAAUCGCGGAUCAGCAUGCCGCGGUGAAUACGUUCCCGGGCCUU
This 260-nucleotide ribosomal RNA is filed under the name uncultured Smithella sp. RNAcentral describes it as "partial 16S ribosomal RNA". It matches the Rfam family "Bacterial small subunit ribosomal RNA", at positions 1121 to 1382 of the family's 1533-position model. Lineage: Bacteria; Pseudomonadati; Thermodesulfobacteriota; Syntrophia; Syntrophales; Smithellaceae. The record is from RNAcentral.